Molecule: long non-coding RNA, 1593 nt
Organism: Mercenaria mercenaria
Lineage: Eukaryota; Metazoa; Mollusca; Bivalvia; Venerida; Veneridae
Exons: 5
Source: RefSeq, a predicted model, not a curated record
CACCGGUACAGUUUUGCGGGGAAGCGAAAGUUGCUAUGGAAUUUUGUCUUCUUCUAAAAACAAGUGUCUGAUACAUGUAGUUGCAGUCUGUCUUUGGAAGUUGUAGAAAUAACAAGAAAGAGGCUGACAUAGUGUUUUGGUAGGGAAAAGUUUGAGUAUGUACAUGUACAGUUGUUUGACCUGUCUUACCCUGUGGCAGUCCAAGAAGAUGUUACCAUUAUGAAAAAUGCUGGAGAACUUGAAGAGAAUGGUUAGUGCAGAAGGGACAUAAAAGUUGUGACAAAAGUAACAGGUAUAAAUAAGAAGUGCUACAAGUGUGUUGUCAUGUGAAAUGAAAUUUACCCCAACUGUGCUGCAAGAUGUAUAUUCAAGUGCGAGACAGCCAUGCACCAGCUGUAAACUGAGGUGGACCCAUAUAAUAAAUAUGUUGACUUUUCUAUGUAUUAUCAUCUGUACAGAAUGUGUUCAUGACAAGACUGUAUUCAUAUAUUGUUAAAUCAUUUUUUAUUUCCAUUAUUGCAUGCAUGUAAGAAGCAAGCAUUUAACAGUUGCAUUCACAGAAGUGUUAAAAUGUGAUCAAUCUAAUUUAAAGAAACACAUUUAAUUGGACUUUUUAAGUUUCAUAGUAUUUGUGGUGGAGACUGACCCAGUCAUUCAGCAACUUAUACUGUCUGUGUGUCAUUUCUUGUAUGUUAUAGUUUUCUUAAUAAAUGUCAAAGUUAUGGUAAGAUGAACUCAUUCAUCACUUGUAGAUUAAUGUUAAAGCAGUUCAACAUUUUACCAUAAGUUAACUAAUAUUCUAUUUAACCAGAGUUGUCACAUAUUUUCAUAUACAUAUUUGUAUAAUACAGUCUAAUCUAAUCUACAUAUGAUGUUCCACAAUUUUUAGUUAUAUUUUAUGUUGAUAUUUUAUGUUGUUUUCAUGUCUCGACAUAUAAUUACUAACAUCAAAGAAACUUAAGUAUUUUACAAUUUGGUUGGUAUAAAUGGUUGUUUUGUUUAUAUAUUUUAUUUUUUUCCAUCCAGGAGAAUAAAGAAAUAUACAUUUCAAAAUAUCUCAUCAUUCCAGAUAAGUACACUACAUAAUCAAGAUAAACGAAAUAAGAACAAAAUAUGUUGGUGGAAUUUUAUUUUCAAAAAUUUGAUAUACAGUCUUUGUAGUAUUUACUUCUUUAGAUAUGUUGGACUGAAAUGGGAAUAACAACAUACUUUAAAUUUUUGUAGUCAUAAGUUAAUAUUGGAAUUAUUAACUUAACUUAAAAAGAUUUUAUCUCACUGUUAUGCCAUCUGAGCUUUAAUAUUUUUCAACAUUGUCAUUGGCAUCAAGGCUCAAAAUUAUUUGUUGUGUAUACCUUGCACUCAUGUGUGAUAAAUGCUUUUAUGGAAUUCUUUAAUAAAAUUUAUGUUUUCAUCUUACCAUGGAUUAAAAAAAAAUAUAAAUUUAUUUGUCUGAAAAUUAAGGUAAAAAUACUGACUGAUUAAACUGCAAUAUAAGAAAGCUUAUUUGAAAUAAAGGGAGGUAAUUCCAUAAAAAAUAUGUAGAAUGUAGAUGAUAAAUGUAAUGAAGGGAGGUAAUAAAACAUUGUGAAGUUA